UGAGCUAUACCAGCGGGCCAAGAAAC
Molecule: non-coding RNA, 26 nt
Filed under: Homo sapiens (human)
Lineage: Eukaryota; Metazoa; Chordata; Mammalia; Primates; Hominidae
Source: RNAcentral